This is a long non-coding RNA of Etheostoma cragini (Arkansas darter), 110 nucleotides long. RefSeq lists it as uncharacterized. The record is from RefSeq and is a predicted model, not a curated record. The transcript is spliced from 3 exons. Lineage: Eukaryota; Metazoa; Chordata; Actinopteri; Perciformes; Percidae.
AAAACAAUGUUUCAGUUGAAAACGCAUCUUGUUUUCACGUAAGAGCCCUGUUCAUGUUGCAAAGACAUUUUAAUUGCAUUUUGUGUCUGUUAGGAGGCACAAUGGUACUC